CCUACGGGUGGCUGCAGUGAGGAAUAUUGGUCAAUGGUCGAGAGUCUGAACCAGCCAAGCAGCGUGAAGGAUGACGGUCCAGUGGAUCGUAAACCUCUUUUGUCAGGGAACAAAGUCCGGUACGUGUCCCCGUAUGCGUGUACCUUAUGAAUAAGCAUCGGCUAACUCCGUGCCAGCAGCCGCGGUAAUACGGAGGAUGCGAGCGUUAUCCGGAUUUAUUGGGUUUAAGGGAGGCGCGGCGGGUCUGUUAGUUCGGUGGUCAAAUCCGGGGGCUAACCGUAGGAUCGCCGUUGAUACUGGCAGUCUCGAGUGGGAGAGAGGUAGGCGGAAUGCGUGGUGUAGCGGUGAAAUGCAUAGAUAUCGCGAAGAACUCCGAUUGCGAAGGCAGCAUGCUGGAUUGAAACUGACGCUGAGGCACGAAAGUGUGGGUAUCGAACAGGAUUAGAUACCCUUGUAGUC
RNAcentral lists this ribosomal RNA (459 nucleotides) under uncultured bacterium. RNAcentral describes it as "partial 16S ribosomal RNA". It matches the Rfam family "Bacterial small subunit ribosomal RNA", at positions 338 to 795 of the family's 1533-position model. The record is from RNAcentral.